AAAGUCGUAACAAGGUUUCCGUAGGUGAACCUGCGGAAGGAUCAUUACAAGAGAAAAUGGCUUUAUUCUCCCUUUUUUUCUUUUAGCUGGUGGUUGGGCAAGCCCAACCAGAGGUUAAAGAAGAAAAGCAACAAUCAUACAACACUCACACUUAUAAACACCAACACACAGUAGCACCUUGCUGCAAUGGAUCUCUCGGCUCUU
This 204-nucleotide unclassified non-coding RNA is filed under the name Basidiomycota sp. Its description in RNAcentral is "partial contains small subunit ribosomal RNA, internal transcribed spacer 1, and 5.8S ribosomal RNA". The stretch from base 1 to 47 matches the Rfam family "Eukaryotic small subunit ribosomal RNA", at positions 1785 to 1831 of the family's 1831-position model. Lineage: Eukaryota; Fungi; Basidiomycota. The record is from RNAcentral.